GGAAGUUAAAAAACUGUUUCUUAACUUUUAACUAAAAAAGUUAAGAACCGGUUCUUAAAAUCCUUAUUUAAAAACCGGUUCUUAGCUUUUUUAGUUAAAGUUAAGAAACAAUUUUUUAACUUCC
This 124-nucleotide microRNA precursor is filed under the name Brassica napus (rape). Its description in RNAcentral is "MIR9563 microRNA precursor family". It matches the Rfam family "MIR9563 microRNA precursor family". Lineage: Eukaryota; Viridiplantae; Streptophyta; Magnoliopsida; Brassicales; Brassicaceae. The record is from Rfam by way of RNAcentral.